GGGGCCGACCGGUUUUGACAGCGAGACCAAUGGUUAUGUAAGCAUGUCGAGCUAUGGGAAUGAUGCUCGUUAAUUCAAUGUCUCAACUUUUUUAAAUGGCGAGUCUAACUACGCUUUAGCUGCUUAAUUGACUGAAUUAUAGUAAGUCCAAGCCUCGGUGCGCUAGGCGCACAAGCUGAAUGUCCCUUGACAGCCCUUGUUGAUGGCGGUCUUUUUUGGGGCACCAUAAAAGUCAACAUAGCGAUCUUAUUGCUUCGUUAAGGUCGUAAAACUAAAGAAGCUAAGCGCACGAUAGGCUGUUUUGGGUCGGUCGUACGUCGAAAAUUGAACCAAAACUAAGCAUGUAGAAAGCCUAGUUAUUGCUUGUUUGGACGAGGGUUCGAAUCCCUCCGGCUCCAC
Molecule: transfer-messenger RNA, 399 nt
Filed under: Allomuricauda sp. NBRC 101325
Lineage: Bacteria; Pseudomonadati; Bacteroidota; Flavobacteriia; Flavobacteriales; Flavobacteriaceae
Description: Muricauda sp. NBRC 101325 transfer-messenger RNA
Rfam family: transfer-messenger RNA
About the family: Bacterial tmRNA, also known as 10Sa RNA or SsrA, is named for its dual tRNA and mRNA-like properties. Its role is to liberate the mRNA from a stalled ribosome.
Source: RNAcentral